Molecule: ribosomal RNA, 443 nt
Filed under: uncultured bacterium
Lineage: Bacteria
Description: partial 16S ribosomal RNA
Rfam family: Bacterial small subunit ribosomal RNA
Source: RNAcentral
CCUACGGGAGGCAGCAGUGGGGAAUAUUGGGCAAUUGAGGAAACUCUGACCCAGCAACGCCGCGUGAAUGAUGACGGUCUUCGGAUUGUAACGUUCUUUUCUAAGGGAAGAAGAAAGUGACGGUACCUUAGGAAUAAGCCUCGGCUAACUACGUACCAGCAGACGCGGUAAUAAGUAGGAGGCGAGCGUUAUCCGGAAUGACUGGACGUAAAGGGUGCGUAGGUGGUUUGGCAAGUUAGUAGCGUAACUCCAAGGAUCAACCUUGGAACUACUACGAAAACUGGUGGACUUGAGUGCAGGAGGGGCAACAGGAAUUCCUAGUGUAGCGGUGGAAGGCGUAGAUAUUAGGAGGAACACCAGUGGCGAAGGCGGGUUGCUAGACUGUAACUGACACUGAGGCACGAAAGCGUGGGGAGCAAACCGGAUUAGAUACCCGAGUAGUC